CUCAAGCCAACCAGCAGAGGGAAUACAAGAGCUUUGAACGCAUCUUUGAUACGCUAGUGGAGGGCACAAAUAAGACUUCUUAUAAAAACCGUGGCAUAAAGUCAAUCCUUCGUCUUUAUUCAGCGAACUUUUGUGUGGUGAGAAUGUUGCAGUGCAACAUGUCCUCUUCAGAAAGUUGCUUUGUGAUUGCAAUCAUAGUUUCCAGUCUGCCUCGUGAUGGGACUGAUGAAGCACGUGGCCUCGGAUGAUUCGCGAGAUAGGCGUUUUAGGCUGUUGAACAUCUGCGUUUGAUGCAUCGAUUAUAAAUCGUAAUGAACGCAACGAAGGGUUAAGUUAGUGCUUUCACCGAUGGUAAGAGUGUUAGAUGGUGUGGCUUCGUAAGAGAUGUAAGAAGACCAAGUCCAUUUGGUGGUAUACAGUUUGGAAAGUGCUCUUCUGCGUGUUACUAAUGUGCAAAUGUAAUUUUAAAACACUGAAUAUAGUGUUACAGAAUUUUGUAUGUGCUUUUUAGAUGUAUGGAUAAAUGUCUUAAUAAAAAUGUGAACAAAACCUUAAUUUGUGUUGUG
Molecule: long non-coding RNA, 566 nt
Organism: Sinocyclocheilus anshuiensis
Lineage: Eukaryota; Metazoa; Chordata; Actinopteri; Cypriniformes; Cyprinidae
Source: Ensembl